RNAcentral lists this ribosomal RNA (769 nucleotides) under uncultured bacterium. RNAcentral's name for it is "bacterial SSU rRNA". It matches the Rfam family "Bacterial small subunit ribosomal RNA", at positions 28 to 776 of the family's 1533-position model. The record is from RNAcentral.
AUUGAACGCUGGCGGCAGGCCUAACACAUGCAAGUCGAGCGGCAGCGACUUAACUGAACCUUCGGGGAACGUUAAGGGCGGCGAGCGGCGGACGGGUGAGUAAUGCCUGGGAAUAUGCCCUGAUGUGGGGGAUAACUAUUGGAAACGAUAGCUAAUACCGCAUAAUCUCUUCGGAGCAAAGAGGGGGACCUUCGGGCCUCUCGCGUCAGGAUUAGCCCAGGUGGGAUUAGCUUGUUGGUGAGGUAAUGGCUCACCAAGGCAACGAUCCCUAGCUGGUCUGAGAGGAUGAUCAGCCACACUGGAACUGAGACACGGUCCAGACUCCUACGGGAGGCAGCAGUGGGGAAUAUUGCACAAUGGGGGAAACCCUGAUGCAGCCAUGCCGCGUGUGUGAAGAAGGCCUUCGGGUUGUAAAGCACUUUCAGUAGGGAGGAAGGUAGUGUAGUUAACACCUGCAUUAUUUGACGUUACCUACAGAAGAAGCACCGGCUAACUCCGUGCCAGCAGCCGCGGUAAUACGGAGGGUGCGAGCGUUAAUCGGAAUUACUGGGCGUAAAGCGCAUGCAGGCGGCCUGUUAAGUCAGAUGUGAAAGCCCGGGGCUUAACCUCGGAAUUGCAUUUGAAACCGGCAGGCUAGAGUCUUGUAGAGGGGGGUAGAAUUUCAGGUGUAGCGGUGAAAUGCGUAGAGAUCUGAAGGAAUACCAGUGGCGAAGGCGGCCCCCUGGACAAAGACUGACGCUCAGAUGCGAAAGCGUGGGGAGCAAACAGG